RNAcentral lists this small RNA (498 nucleotides) under Drosophila yakuba. Its description in RNAcentral is "GE28791". Lineage: Eukaryota; Metazoa; Arthropoda; Insecta; Diptera; Drosophilidae. The record is from RNAcentral.
GAAUUUCAAAAUAUAGGAGAGUUACGGCAUUUUAGCUUAAGCCAAGCCGAAGCUCAUCUACUCGUAAUGUGGCCAAUAAAUGAAGCAACAAAUACCAAUUAGCGCCAACAGAAUUCGCCUGGCCGUGGUCUUAGCAGUAAAACAGGGCCAAAACCGAUGUAGAAAUGGCCAAGCAACAGUGGUAUAAAUGUAAAUACGAACUUUGGAGUAAAUGAGAGCCAUCAAGAGAGAGGAAGCUUCGAAUGCCGGCCCGCCCUAUUUGGUCUGCCCACGCAACUAUCCAUGGAGCCACCCAUUUCCCCCCCGGGCGACUUUCCUGGGCGCCCACGCAGACCAGCAGGUGACGCUGAUUCGACGACGUCCUCGAAGCGUUGGCGUUGCACUCAAAUGCGAAAAGCGACAGUAGAAGCUUUUCCGAGGGCGGAUAAUAAACAAAAAUAUGGCUCGUAUUUCCGACACCUGUCGUUGGGCGUUCUUGGUUAAAUUACUUAAUUGAAG